GACGAACGCUGGCGGCGUGCUUAACACAUGCAAGUCGAACGGAAAGGCCCUGCUUUUGUGGGGUGCUCGAGUGGCGAACGGGUGAGUAACGCGUGAGUAACCUGCCCUCGACUUUGGGAUAACUUCAGGAAACUGGGGCUAAUACCGGAUAGGAGCUCCUGCUGCAUGGUGGGGGUUGGAAAGUUUCGGCGGUUGGGGAUGGACUCGCGGCUUAUCAGCUUGUUGGUGGGGUAGUGGCUUACCAAGGCUUUGACGGGUAGCCGGCCUGAGAGGGUGACCGGCCACAUUGGGACUGAGAUACGGCCCAGACUCCUACGGGAGGCAGCAGUGGGGAAUAUUGCACAAUGGGCGGAAGCCUGAUGCAGCAACGCCGCGUGCGGGAUGACGGCCUUCGGGUUGUAAACCGCUUUCGCCUGUGACGAAGCGUGAGUGACGGUAAUGGGUAAAGAAGCACCGGCUAACUACGUG
RNAcentral lists this ribosomal RNA (468 nucleotides) under uncultured bacterium. RNAcentral describes it as "partial 16S ribosomal RNA". It matches the Rfam family "Bacterial small subunit ribosomal RNA", at positions 28 to 507 of the family's 1533-position model. The record is from RNAcentral.